RNAcentral lists this ribosomal RNA (845 nucleotides) under Ramularia diervillae. Its description in RNAcentral is "eukaryotic LSU rRNA". It matches the Rfam family "Eukaryotic large subunit ribosomal RNA", at positions 67 to 943 of the family's 3401-position model. Lineage: Eukaryota; Fungi; Ascomycota; Dothideomycetes; Mycosphaerellales; Mycosphaerellaceae. The record is from RNAcentral.
AACAGGGAUUGCCCCAGUAACGGCGAGUGAAGCGGCAACAGCUCAAAUUUGAAAUCUGGCGCAAGCCCGAGUUGUAAUUUGUAGAGGAUGCUUCUAGGUAGCGACCGGUCUAAGUUCCUUGGAACAGGACGUCAUAGAGGGUGAGAAUCCCGUAUGUGACCGGCCCGCACCUUCUACGUAGCUCCUUCGACGAGUCGAGUUGUUUGGGAAUGCAGCUCUAAAUGGGAGGUAAAUUUCUUCUAAAGCUAAAUACCGGCCAGAGACCGAUAGCGCACAAGUAGAGUGAUCGAAAGAUGAAAAGCACUUUGGAAAGAGAGUUAAAAAGCACGUGAAAUUGUUGAAAGGGAAGCGCUCACAACCAGACUUCUGGGCGGUGUUCCGCCGGUCUUCUGACCGGUCUACUCGCCGUCCCGAGGCCAACAUCAUCUGGGACCGCUGGAUAAGACCUCAGGAAUGUAGCUUCCCUCGGGAAGUGUUAUAGCCUGUGGUGAUGCAGCGCGUCUCGGGUGAGGUCCGCGCUUCGGCAAGGAUGUUGGCGUAAUGGUUGUCAGCGGCCCGUCUUGAAACACGGACCAAGGAGUCUAACAUCUAUGCGAGUGUUCGGGUGUCAAACCCCUACGCGUAAUGAAAGUGAACGGAGGUGGGAAGCGUGAGCUGCACCAUCGACCGAUCCUGAUGUCCUCGGAUGGAUUUGAGUAAGAGCAUAGCUGUUGGGACCCGAAAGAUGGUGAACUAUGCCUGAAUAGGGUGAAGCCAGAGGAAACUCUGGUGGAGGCUCGCAGCGGUUCUGACGUGCAAAUCGAUCGUCAAAUUUGGGUAUAGGGGCGAAAGACUAAUCGAACCAU